Molecule: long non-coding RNA, 545 nt
Filed under: Nicotiana benthamiana
Lineage: Eukaryota; Viridiplantae; Streptophyta; Magnoliopsida; Solanales; Solanaceae
Description: long non-coding RNA (NBEN_LNC003674)
Source: RNAcentral
UGAUGUCAAAGAUAUCCAUAGCAGUUACGGUAAAGUUUCACAUACCUUUCCAAGUUCCCAAUUUGACACCAAUUCCAUUAGCUACCCCAUGAGCAUUUUUCUACCUCGGCAUUCACGGUCUUGACGCGAGAGUUGGUUGGAGCAAUCUUCAAUUCUAGUCUCUUCGCGGCAUCCUCAAUCACGAAAUUAUGAGUUGCUCCAGUAUCCACCAUUGCACGAGCGGGCUUGUUGUUGAUGGUGAGAUCUACGUACCGGUUUCCAUUCUCGGUAGGUUGGAUAGCUUGCUUUGUGACAGCACCAUAUAAUUCGAUCAUACCCAAUUGUGCGGUUCUCGAACUCUCUCCUUGCGGCUGCUCUUUUCGUUCACGGACCAUGGCACUGAGGCUCUUGAGGUCGGGACAAUUCCUAAAGUCGUGCGGCCCUCUGCAUAUGUAGCAUCCCUUCUUCUUGGCAUGUGCCUUCUUCUCGGCGUAGCCCUGACGACCACUCGACUUUUUGGAAUCUUGAGUCUUGAAGUAUUGUUGUUGUAUCUCCUUGACUUUGCC